GAGAAAGUCAUAGAGGUUAUGGGACUGGCUUGAAACCAGUUUUUGGAGGCGCGAUUCCUUCCUUUUUUG
This 69-nucleotide transfer RNA is filed under the name Gorilla gorilla gorilla (western lowland gorilla). It matches the Rfam family "tRNA". From Rfam's summary of the family: Transfer RNA (tRNA) molecules are approximately 80 nucleotides in length. The record is from Rfam by way of RNAcentral. Lineage: Eukaryota; Metazoa; Chordata; Mammalia; Primates; Hominidae. RNAcentral also lists the same sequence under 1 other name.